This 347-nucleotide ribosomal RNA is filed under the name uncultured bacterium. RNAcentral's name for it is "bacterial SSU rRNA". It matches the Rfam family "Bacterial small subunit ribosomal RNA", at positions 162 to 507 of the family's 1533-position model. The record is from RNAcentral.
AUUAACUACCCAUAACAUAAUUAAAAGGCAUUCUUUUGAUAAUUAAAACUCCGGUGGUAUAAGAUGAGUGUGCGUCUGAUUAGCUAGUUGGUGGGGUAACGGCUCACCAAGGCAACGAUCAGUAGCUGGUCUGAGAGGAUGAUCAGCCACACGGGCACUGAGACACGGGCCCGACUCCUACGGGAGGCAGCAGUAGGGAAUAUUGGACAAUGGGCGCAAGCCUGAUCCAGCCAUCCCGCGUGAAGGAUUAAGGCCCUCUGGGUUGUAAACUUCUUUCUUUGGGAAUAAAAACUCCGUUUCUACGGAGCUUGAAGGUACCAGAGGAAUAAGCACCGGCUAACUCCGUG